Molecule: long non-coding RNA, 931 nt
Filed under: Phasianus colchicus (ring-necked pheasant)
Lineage: Eukaryota; Metazoa; Chordata; Aves; Galliformes; Phasianidae
Description: lncRNA (ENSPCLG00000016868.1)
Source: RNAcentral
GGAGGGGCCUGGAGGGGGGCGUGGCCUGGAGGGGGCGGGGAUUCGUGGUGGGCGCCUGGGUGGGGGCGUGGCCUGUGUGGUCUGACGAUGGAUCUGAUUGGGUGAUGCCUGGGUGUGGGCGUGGCCUAAGUGUGGGCGCCGUCUGAUUGGGCGUUGCCAAGGAUGGGCGGGGCCUGUGGGGUGGGCGUGGUCAGGUUAGGGGCGUGGUCUAAAAAGGGGGCGGGGGCUUGAAGGGGGCGUGGCCUAGGGGACGUGCUGUGAUUGGUGGGUGCGUUUUGGGGUAAUUUUGUGGGGAUUUGGGGUUUUUUGUUCCCCUGCAGGACACGAAGAGCGGCAGAACGGCGCUGCUGAGGGCCGUGGAGAGCAACAGCCUGGAGAUGGCGGAGCUGCUGCUCAGGGUGGGGCAUUUUGGGGCAAAAUCCGGGGAAAUUGGGGCUUUGGGGUCAGUUUGGGGUGAAAUUGGGGCUUUUUGGGGUCAUGUUGGGGUGAAAUUGGGAUUUUUUGGGGUCAUUUUGGGUGAAAUUGGGGCUUUUUGGGGUCAUUUUGGGGUGAAAUUGGGAUUUUUUGUGGUCAUUUUGGGUGAAAUUGGGGCUUUUUGGGGUCAUUUUGGGGUGGAUUUGGGGCUUUUUGGGGUCAUGUUGGGGUGAGAUUGGGGUAUUUUGGGGUCAUUUUGGGGUGAGAUUGGGGCUUUUUGGGGUCAGUUUGGGGUGGAUUUGGGGCUUUUUGGGGUCAGUUUGGGGUGAAAUUGGGUCUUCUUGGGCUCCCUCACUACCCUCCUCUAUUCCCCAUUGCCCCAUACCGACCCCCAUUGACCCCAAUGACCCCCAUUGAUCCCCAUUGAACCCCGUUGCCCCAUACCGACCCCCAUUGACCCCCAUUGACCCCAUUGACCCCCAUUGCCCCUUACCGACCCCCAUUGACCCUCAUUGAC